This 239-nucleotide long non-coding RNA is filed under the name Phascolarctos cinereus (koala). Its description in RNAcentral is "lncRNA (ENSPCIG00000024972.2)". The record is from RNAcentral. Lineage: Eukaryota; Metazoa; Chordata; Mammalia; Diprotodontia; Phascolarctidae.
GAGUGAACAUACAGCAUUAGUACCCUCAACAAGGAAGUACCUUGAGCUUUGGAAUGCUUCACAGAAAAUGAGGAGAAACACUAUUCAUUUGCAACAUUUUUCCCAACCCUAUUCAUUUCCUAAGUCCUAAAGAUUGAGUCUACAGUGGCCAAAGGUCAGGACCAUGCUGGUGAUCAGUAUUCUGUGGUGUGGAGACACUCUUUGGCAUGAAUGAAUUGUUGUCCCUCCAUCACUAUGCA